AACGUGACAGCAACUCAGCAAGAAACGAACGUGAUGAGCGAUAGAUAAUAAAGUUAGGCUUGAAAUAUUUUUAAGUUGCUAAUACAUCAAAACUUAUCAGGUCUUAUCCUCCUUCAUACGAUGGAUUAAAUUAUUCAUCAUUUUGAUGUAUUAGAAGAGACUAAUGGAUAAGGUUAUCCAAUACAAUGUAACCACCAAACAACUGAUAAACACAUAACGUAUUGUAUAAGCUUAUACAAUCAGACCUAAUACAGUGU
This 257-nucleotide long non-coding RNA is filed under the name Lotus japonicus. RNAcentral describes it as "long non-coding RNA (LJAP_LNC001987)". Lineage: Eukaryota; Viridiplantae; Streptophyta; Magnoliopsida; Fabales; Fabaceae. The record is from RNAcentral.